AUUUGACAAGUACUACUAAAACAGCCUUUCUAUUUUAUCGGUGGCUAGUCAAUAUAACAAUUCUUCGCCGCCGCCGCUAGAAUCUAAUGCCGGCAACUCCAAAGCCUCUUCUCUUCCUUUCCCUCUUGCUACUCUCAUCUACUCUCUCCCACUCCUUCUUCUCCAACUAUUACAACCUAUUUUCUCUCUCUCACUCCCUCCUCUCCCGCGUCGCCGCCCAACGAACCUCCCGCGGCGAUGUAGAGGGGGCGGCCCGGGCACGGGCUCUGGCCCGCACCUUCGAACCGGGUGGCCUGGGAUUGUACAAGUCUGCUUGGAACUUUGGAUGGGAUUUUCUGAAGAAUUACGCGUGGAGCGACGCGGCGUCGUUUCAUGACAUUGGCGGCGUAGUAACCGAUUUGAAUGAAUUGUUAGGGAUUUUAAACGAGUUGAGUCGGAUUCGCUCCGACGCGGAGAGGCUCGCCUGGGCUGGUCGAAAUUACAAAAACGCCCUUAGGGUUUCGAAGUCGAUCUUCAAUCUACUGCUCAACGUUUUCCGUCGAUCUGGGCCAUUGCGGGAUAUAGUGCUGAGCCUUCAGAAAGAAGUGGUGGAGGGUGAUCUGCUUAGGGACUGCAUUGAGUUAGGCGCAGGUGACCUUAAGGGUUUGGUACAGAUUGUGAAGGACAUUGCACUCCAAUAUUUCCCUGCUGCUCCUAGGAAUGAACUGUAAAAGAUGCUUUGUGGGUGAUGCUUAGCGAUAUUUUUGCGGACAUUGGAUUUUGCAGUCUUCGGUGGAGAAGAAAGUUCGAUUUUUCUGGUGGUUCUAGGCUUUUGAAGAAUGAUUUGACUAGUGAAGGAUGUUUUCUAGAAUGCAGUGUUUCCCCUUCAUAACUGUAUAACCUUCUGGUCUUUGCCUGUCUGGAACAGAGGAAGACUGGAUGACAACUUUGCGAAAUUGAAUCCAGAUGACGAAGAAGAAGAUGGUAGAAUGAGUGAGCACAGCGUAUACUCUUUGAAUCCCGACAAUGCUUACCAGGUGCCCAUAUUGCAGAGAGCCGGGUGCCUGUUUGUUUCUAUACAGAUUGCUAUGUGCAUAAUACAUUAAGUUGUUCUAAAUAGAUUUCUAUGUAAAUCGCUUCUUGAAAGCUAGUCUGAUAUUCUGAAUGGUAGUGUAAUGAUCAUUUCACUGGCAUAGAAUAUUCCAUAUUUUCCUCA
This is an RNA transcript of Salvia splendens (bonfire salvia), 1195 nucleotides long. It is a transcript of the gene named adenine phosphoribosyltransferase, with no coding region annotated. The transcript has 3 exons. The record is from RefSeq and is a predicted model, not a curated record. NCBI's taxonomy places the organism in Eukaryota, Viridiplantae, Streptophyta, Magnoliopsida, Lamiales, Lamiaceae.